CGCUAUCACUCCUACGGGAGGCAGCAGUGGGGAAUAUUGCACAAUGGGGGAAACCCUGAUGCAGCCAUGCCGCGUGUGUGAAGAAGGCCUUCGGGUUGUAAAGCACUUUCAGUAGGGAGGAAGGUAGUGUAGUUAACACCUGCAUUAUUUGACGUUACCUACAGAAGAAGCACCGGCUAACUCCGUGCCAGCAGCCGCGGUAAUACGGAGGGUGCGAGCGUUAAUCGGAAUUACUGGGCGUAAAGCGCAUGCAGGCGGCCUGUUAAGUCAGAUGUGAAAGCCCGGGGCUUAACCUCGGAAUUGCAUUUGAAACUGGCGGGCUAGAGUCUUGUAGAGGGGGUAGAAUUUCAGGUGUAGCGGUGAAAAUGCGUAGAGAUCUGAAGGAAUACCAGUGGCGAAGGCGGCCCCCUGGACAAAGACUGACGCUCAGAUGCGAAAGCGUGGGGAGCAAACAGGAUUAGAUACCCUGGUAG
This 473-nucleotide ribosomal RNA is filed under the name uncultured bacterium. RNAcentral's name for it is "bacterial SSU rRNA". It matches the Rfam family "Bacterial small subunit ribosomal RNA", at positions 328 to 793 of the family's 1533-position model. The record is from RNAcentral.